Molecule: unclassified non-coding RNA, 253 nt
Filed under: uncultured Bacillaceae bacterium
Lineage: Bacteria; Bacillati; Bacillota; Bacilli; Caryophanales; Bacillaceae
Description: contains 16S-23S intergenic spacer region
Rfam family: Bacterial small subunit ribosomal RNA
Source: RNAcentral
UACGUAGGGGGCAAGCGUUGUCCGGAAUUAUUGGGCGUAAAGCGCGCGCAGGCGGUUCUUUAAGUCUGAUGUGAAAUCCCACGGCUCAACCGUGGAGGUGCAUUGGAAACUGGGGAACUUGAGGACAGAAGAGGAGAGUGGAAUUCCACGUGUAGCGGUGAAAUGCGUAGAUAUGUGGAGGAACACCAGUGGCGAAGGCGACUCUCUGGUCUGUCUCUGACGCUGAGGUGCGAAAGCGUGGGUAGCAAACAGG